UAGUAGCUAAGAAAUUAAUGAUGGAAG
RNAcentral lists this non-coding RNA (27 nucleotides) under Drosophila erecta. RNAcentral also lists the same sequence under 1 other name. Lineage: Eukaryota; Metazoa; Arthropoda; Insecta; Diptera; Drosophilidae. The record is from RNAcentral.